This 429-nucleotide ribosomal RNA is filed under the name Pseudomonadota bacterium. RNAcentral describes it as "Proteobacteria bacterium partial 16S ribosomal RNA". It matches the Rfam family "Bacterial small subunit ribosomal RNA", at positions 355 to 776 of the family's 1533-position model. The record is from RNAcentral. Lineage: Bacteria; Pseudomonadati; Pseudomonadota.
UGGGGAAUAUUGGACAAUGGGCGAAAGCCUGAUCCAGCCAUGCCGCGUGUGUGAAGAAGGUCUUCGGAUUGUAAAGCACUUUACGUUGGGAGGAAGGGCAGUAAGCGAAUACCUUGCUGUUUUGACGUUACCGACAGAAUAAGCACCGGCUAACUCUGUGCCAGCAGCCGCGGUAAUACAGAGGGUGCAAGCGUUAAUCGGAAUUACUGGGCGUAAAGCGCGCGUAGGUGGUUCGUUAAGUUGAAUGUGAAAGCCCCGGGCUCAACCUGGGAACUGCAUCCAAAACUGGCGAGCUAGAGUAGGGCAGAGGGGGGUGGAAUUUCCUGUGUAGCGGUGAAAUGCGUAGAUAUAGGAAGGAACACCAGUGGCGAAGGCGACCACCUGGGCUCAUACUGACACUGAGGUGCGAAAGCGUGGGGAGCAAACAGG